RNAcentral lists this long non-coding RNA (1467 nucleotides) under Sparus aurata (gilthead seabream). RNAcentral describes it as "lncRNA (ENSSAUG00010026242.1)". The record is from RNAcentral. Lineage: Eukaryota; Metazoa; Chordata; Actinopteri; Spariformes; Sparidae.
CGGAAGCCCUGCGGGCUGAUUGCACAUGCUUUCUGGCUUCAAGAGAGCACCAUCUCCUCAUCAUUGGCUUUGUUGUCUUUAGGCAUUAGCAUGUGUGUGGAGCGUUCCGCAGUCCUCUUCUAAUCGAGUGAAUGGACCUCACAGAGCUCAUAUGUGAGUGCUGAGGAUGGCUGUGUGGGUGGGACUGUGUAAGAGACCAGAUACAGGCAACGCUAGAUAAUGCUCUACACCCCGUACGCAGCAGAUGGGAAAGAUCCAGGGUGGCACGACGCCCGUUUCCACAGGGUCAUUCCAACCAUUAGACCACCAACGUCAGGUGACUGCUGAUGGGAAACCUCCACCAAGUGUUCAAGAAACGCGGGAAUGAGCCAAGAUGCUGCAGAGUGUGCCAGCUCGCCGGAAUUGGCAGCAGAGCCCGACUGUUCGCUGCUUUCCGCCGCCAGCGAGAGAGGAAAGUGGAGCGGUAAUUGACAGCACUUGCAAGAAUAUUUUGAGUCCUUCAAAAACCCUUGGUUCUCACCUAAACCUCCCAUUGUUUCUCAUCAUCAUUGUGCAUUCACGGAGUGGAGCAACAUUCCUCUAUGCAGCUUGGCUCAAGGUUUUUUUGAUCUCCACACAUUGCGACUGAGGUGAGGGGAAGUGAGGUCUUCUGAUGUCUAUGGCUCCUCAUGCCCAAAGUUUGAAUUUCAUUAAAGACCCUCUCUGCUCCCUCGGCUACCAGGAACAAAGCCUGAGCCGGACUCAAUGGUAAUCCUGCCUGCGAGGCGCCGGUGUCAAAGGUCACUCGUCGCCAGCAGAUGAAUCCUGUGGUUGGGGUGGCAGAGGCUAUGAUGGAGAGGAGAAGAAGACAGAGGAGCUCUUUUUCUCAGGUUAUCCAGGGAGAAUCUAAUGAGGAGGAUUGGAGGAGAGAGAGAGGAGCCAUGCGGCUGCUUGGGUGGAGGCAGGAGGCGAGCCGCGGGAAAACUUCAAUACGGAAGGAGAGGAGGAUGAGGUAGAGAGGGUAGAAAACUCUAAUGCGUAACAUGAAAAAAACAAGGGGGAGAGUGAAACAUAAGGCACAAUCAGAGGUUGCAUUCUGUGGUGUUGCAUGAGAGCCACUUAGUGCCUGAGGACAAGCCCAAGGCUAAUAAAGCUGAAAGUUGGUAGAAGCUCUGACCUUGCUUUGGAAAAGAAAAGCCCUAAUAAGGACACAGUCUAAAGAGAGAGAGACAGAGAGAGAGAGAGAGAGAGAGAGAGGAAAAAGAAAAAAAAAAACUUUCCUGUUUCUCUCCAGAGCAAACACUCUCUCCAUCGCUUUUUUUUUUUCAUACACUCGCCUUUCAUUAUAGCACAGAGAGGGAGAGGAACCUAUAGGCGGCCUAAUGAAGGGGACCGUUGGAUCGGAUACAUUAAAAGAACGGAUUAGACAGUGUCUGACAUGGAAACUGACUUUGAACAUGUUCGCAGUGCAUGAUUAGUAAUAGACUG